CGAACGCUGGCGGCAGGCUUAACACAUGCAAGUCGAGCGCCGUAGCAAUACGGAGCGGCAGACGGGUGAGUAACGCGUGGGAACAUGCCCUUUGGUUUGGAAUAACUCAGGGAAACUUGAGCUAAUACCGGAUAAGCCCCGCAAGGGGGAAAGAUUUAUCGCCGAAGGAUUGGCCCGCGUCCGAUUAGCUAGUUGGUGUGGUAAUGGCGCACCAAGGCGACGAUCGGUAGCUGGUCUGAGAGGAUGAUCAGCCACACUGGGACUGAGACACGGCCCAGACUCCUACGGGAGGCAGCAGUGGGGAAUAUUGGACAAUGGGCGCAAGCCUGAUCCAGCCAUGCCGCGUGAGUGAUGAAGGCCCUAGGGUUGUAAAGCUCUUUCGGCGGGGACGAUAAUGACGGUACCCGCAGAAGAAGCCCCGGCUAACUUCGUGCCAGCAGCCGCGGUAAUACGAAGGGGGCUAGCGUUGCUCGGAAUCACUGGGCGUAAAGCGCACGUAGGCGGAUCUUUAAGUCAGGGGUGAAAUCCCAAGGCUCAACCUUGGAACUGCCUUUGAUACUGGGGAUCUCGAGUCCGGAAGAGGUUGGUGGAACUGCGAGUGUAGAGGUGAAAUUCGUAGAUAUUCGCAAGAACACCAGUGGCGAAGGCGGCCAACUGGUCCGGUACUGACGCUGAGGUGCGAA
RNAcentral lists this ribosomal RNA (683 nucleotides) under uncultured Alphaproteobacteria bacterium. RNAcentral's name for it is "bacterial SSU rRNA". It matches the Rfam family "Bacterial small subunit ribosomal RNA", at positions 30 to 757 of the family's 1533-position model. The record is from RNAcentral. Lineage: Bacteria; Pseudomonadati; Pseudomonadota; Alphaproteobacteria.